GGACGGACCUUUAGGACAAAACGGAACACGCGACGACCAAGCUUAGCUCGGGACCUCGCCGGCUAGCGCUUUCUCAUUUAGGCUUCUUUUUGGCUGAGGAGGCAACAACAAUACGUGAUCUGGGUUUUACCUGCGGCAUGCUACUCCGGCCGCCGUAUUUUUGGGAUCGGGAGCCAGCGCGGCGCGGUACCGGUGGCGGUGGUGGAUGUGCGAGGCGGAGUGGGGCGGGGGCGGCGGUGGCGCCGUGGUGCGAGGAGAGGAAGGCGUCGAGGCGGCGGCGCGCCGGCGCUUCCACAGACGAUCGACCCAGGGUCGGCGGCGGCCGUUGAGCCUGCUGCCCGAACCGCCGACCACCGAGGGGCUCGUCGGCCGCCUUUUCCCCUCCCGUCCCAAGCCCUUUCGAUAACACCAGCCUAACCCACGAAGCCGUCGCUAGCGAAACCGACCCUAGUGAACCGCGAGAGGUAGGAGCUCCUUCACAAAUGUCGUUGAAUAGCCACGGGGUAACGUAAUACAAGUUCUCUUCGAAAGUCACGGCCUGAGCUGUCUUUAAGGACUUCUACUACGUUCGCAGUCUCUCGACCCAUGUUAACUACAAAGCUCCCAUUUACAAGUACUCUCCUUACGGUGUAGUGGACUACUAAGUUCGGUUUUGGUGUAUGGUCGACCGCCACAGGCAUAAAGAAAAUGUCAGGGACAUCUAGGGUACGUACUCCUUCGAAACAGGUAUAACUUCUUCGAUGUCUAUUAACUCUUACUACGAUCGAGGCCACUGAAAACAUGAUCCUCCCUUAAACGUUCUACCAAACAAUUUAAUACGAGUUUUAAUCUCUCCUUUUCCUACGUGUCCUAGUAUGGCUUAGAUUAUUGAAGACCAAGUAAGCUUUCACGCAAACUACUACAUCUAAAACUACUGGGCCUAAAGAACAUAUAAGUCAGAAAUCCUCUUAGACCGUAACACGGAUCGUUCGAUAGUUCGAAGAAACCUUGUAGCCGUUUACCGAGAGUUUCACGGUUGUGUUUAAGGUUGAAGGAUGGACUUUCAAUAGACAGUGCAAAACUAGAACAAUUGACCUUUGAUGAUCACCUCAUAGGUAAACGUAGUCUUAAUCUGGUUUUCAGGUCUACGACUCAUUUUUACAAGUAUGAAACCUAAACUCGCGAACCGGUCUACAUUGUCGCAGACAUAAACACCUGAACAAACCGCCACUGGUGUCGUAGCAGUCGUUUCAAAAACCUUUGUGGUCCGCCGAAGUUGUAGUAUUCGGACAUUGUUUUCGUGUUCGCCGACGACGUGACUGGUCACCAUCUUACCUUCUUCAUCAUGCACUACUUGAUUUAUCUGAACUUCGUCUUUUAGUCAGGGCCGAAAGACGAUACCCACUUUACUACCUUCUCAAUUAAUUAUCUCCCCUAUAUUUUGUUAUAACCCUUCAGUUCUAUUUUUUCCUCGUUCUGGCACCCAAACUUCAACUCUUCGUAGAAGUUCUACAAGACGUGCUCGAACGUUUACUCUCCUGCCUAGUUCUUUUCCUUUAACGUCUGAACGAUUUUCUUUUUAGUCGAAAUCUCGCAGUCUUAGUCCUUGAGCAUACAAAUUCCAGUCUUCAACUACCGUACAUACUAUCCGACCGGUGACUCUCAGAUCUCCAGUACCGACUACUUCUUUUAGACCUUUUCAACAGGAGACUAUACUCGUCGUUCGUGGUUCGACAGUGACUUCGAUUUAGUAUAGAACUUCGACUCUUCCUUCGAGAAUGAUACGAUUCCAGGACCCACCUCGUCCUUCGUCGCGCGCACGUACUUGCACGACUCCAUGAACUCUCCCGCCACUCUUCUACCGCUCAGGGACGACUAACUCGGACGUUUGUUUUUAGACCGUAAAAUAAACCACGUUCAGAGCUGAACGACAUUUUUUUAAUACAAGGUACAGCGGUACCGUAGCUGACAGUCAAUGCUCAUAAUGUUCAUGAAGGGAGUGGUCUUGCCUUACAGUUAUAGACGGUCCGGGAAGAAAGGAAGCUACAAAUAAUCACUGAACAAAUACCAACAGAAUACCCUUUAUGGUCAAAAAACAACAAGGUCAAGACCACCGGACCCACCGACGAUGAGUUCUCUUUAAAAACCCCCGAGGUAAAACGCUGCUACACGAGUCGACCCGUUCCUAACGUGCAUAACUGCUUGCAUACGGUAAGAUAAGGGAUACACGCACAAACCAACGGAAGAACUUGUCACGGACGUAAAGUAUGCACAGAACU
Molecule: ribosomal RNA, 2258 nt
Filed under: Triticum aestivum (bread wheat)
Lineage: Eukaryota; Viridiplantae; Streptophyta; Magnoliopsida; Poales; Poaceae
Description: partial small subunit ribosomal RNA
Source: RNAcentral